GAAUUCACUAGUGAUUGGAUCNCAGGCCUAACACAUGCAAGUCGAACGAGAUCUUCGGAUCUAGUGGCGCACGGGUGCGUAACGCGUGGGAAUCUGCCCUUGGGUUCGGAAUAACAGUUAGAAAUGACUGCUAAUACCGGAUGAAGUCUACGGACCAAAGAUUUAUCGCCCAGGGAUGAGCCCGCGUAGGAUUAGCUAGUUGGUGGGGUAAAGGCCUACCAAGGCGACGAUCCUUAGCUGGUCUGAGAGGAUGAUCAGCCACACUAGGACUGAGACACGGCCCAGACUCCUACGGGAGGCAGCAGUGGGGAAUAUUGGACAAUGGGGGCAACCCUGAUCCAGCAAUGCCGCGUGAGUGAUGAAGGCCUUCGGGUCGUAAAGCUCUUUUACCCGGGAUGAUAAUGACAGUACCGGGAGAAUAAGCCCCGGCUAACUCCGUG
RNAcentral lists this ribosomal RNA (440 nucleotides) under uncultured bacterium. RNAcentral describes it as "bacterial SSU rRNA". It matches the Rfam family "Bacterial small subunit ribosomal RNA", at positions 38 to 507 of the family's 1533-position model. The record is from RNAcentral.